RNAcentral lists this ribosomal RNA (199 nucleotides) under uncultured bacterium. RNAcentral's name for it is "partial 16S ribosomal RNA". It matches the Rfam family "Bacterial small subunit ribosomal RNA", at positions 1301 to 1500 of the family's 1533-position model. The record is from RNAcentral.
UAGGCUGCAACUCGCCUCAUGAAGUCGGAAUCGCUAGUAAUCGCGGAUCAGCAUGCCGCGGUGAAUACGUUCCCGGGCCUUGUACACACCGCCCGUCACACCAUGAGAGUUUGUAACACCCAAAGCCGGUGGGGUAACCUUUUGGAGCCAGCCGUCUAAGGUGGGACAGAUGAUUGGGGUGAAGUCGUAACAAGGUACC